This 253-nucleotide ribosomal RNA is filed under the name uncultured bacterium. Its description in RNAcentral is "partial 16S ribosomal RNA". It matches the Rfam family "Bacterial small subunit ribosomal RNA", at positions 524 to 776 of the family's 1533-position model. The record is from RNAcentral.
GACGAACCGUGCGAACGUUGUUCGGAAUCACUGGGCUUAAAGGGCGCGUAGGCGGGCUAUCAAGUCCGGGGUGAAAUCCUCCCGCUCAACGGGAGAACUGCCUCGGAUACUGAUGGCCUCGAGGGGGAUAGGGGCACGCGGAACUGUGGGUGGAGCGGUGAAAUGCGUUGAUAUCCAUAGGAACUCCGGUGGCGAAAGCGGCGUGCUGGAUCCCUUCUGACGCUGAGGCGCGAAAGCCAGGGGAGCAAACGGG